Molecule: transfer RNA, 89 nt
Filed under: Rubrobacter sp.
Lineage: Bacteria; Bacillati; Actinomycetota; Rubrobacteria; Rubrobacterales; Rubrobacteraceae
Also listed under: 1 other name
Description: tRNA-Leu
Rfam family: tRNA
About the family: Transfer RNA (tRNA) molecules are approximately 80 nucleotides in length.
Source: RNAcentral
GUCGGAGUGGCGGAAUUGGUAGACGCGCUAGGUUGAGGGCCUAGUGUCCCUUAAAGGACGUGGGGGUUCGAGUCCCCCCUCCGACACCA